GUGCUUGCUUCGGCAACACAUAUACUAAGAUUGGAACAAUACAAAGAAGAUUAGCAUGCCCCUUGCCCAAGGAUGACACGCAAAUUCAUGAAGCAUUCCACAUUUAA
Molecule: small nuclear RNA, 107 nt
Filed under: Dasypus novemcinctus (nine-banded armadillo)
Lineage: Eukaryota; Metazoa; Chordata; Mammalia; Cingulata; Dasypodidae
Source: RNAcentral